CAGCACCUCAAGUGGUCAGGAUGAUUAUUGGGCCUAAAGCAUCCGUAGCCGGCGCUGUAAGUUUUCGGUUAAAUCUGUACGCUCAACGUACAGGCUGCCGGGAAUACUGCAGCGCUAGGGAGUGGGAGAGGUAGACGGUACUCGGUAGGAAGGGGUAAAAUCCUUUGAUCUAUUGAUGACCACCUGUGGCGAAGGCGGUCUACCAGAACACGUCCGACGGUGAGGGAUGAAAGCUGGAGGAGCAAACCGGAUUAGAUACCCGAGUAGUCC
RNAcentral lists this ribosomal RNA (270 nucleotides) under uncultured archaeon. Its description in RNAcentral is "partial 16S ribosomal RNA". It matches the Rfam family "Archaeal small subunit ribosomal RNA", at positions 477 to 747 of the family's 1478-position model. The record is from RNAcentral.